GUACUCCGGUUCCCUUUCAAAUCGUAAAAAUCUUUCGCCUUUUACUAAAGAUUUCCGUGGAGGGGAGCAUUCAAAGGAGUGUAUAAAGUAAUUUUUAUAUAUGCCUGACGUUCUCGUCGGGCU
This is a small nuclear RNA of Melanaphis sacchari, 123 nucleotides long. RefSeq annotates it as U5 spliceosomal RNA. The record is from RefSeq and is a predicted model, not a curated record. The transcript has a single exon. NCBI's taxonomy places the organism in Eukaryota, Metazoa, Arthropoda, Insecta, Hemiptera, Aphididae.